AAGUAAGAAGCGAUUAUUGCAUCCAGUUUCGACCUGGCCAUUUGAUGACUUCAUCCUUAUUUA
This 63-nucleotide transfer RNA is filed under the name Mecopoda elongata. Its description in RNAcentral is "tRNA-Arg". Lineage: Eukaryota; Metazoa; Arthropoda; Insecta; Orthoptera; Tettigoniidae. The record is from RNAcentral.